This 2059-nucleotide long non-coding RNA is filed under the name Macaca mulatta (Rhesus monkey). RNAcentral describes it as "lncRNA (ENSMMUG00000053122.1)". Lineage: Eukaryota; Metazoa; Chordata; Mammalia; Primates; Cercopithecidae. The record is from RNAcentral.
AUGUUUUUAAUUUUAUAUCUAUGCUUUCAGACUCUCUGAUGAUAAUUUUUUUAAAACAUUAUUUUCUCGAAGACCAGCUUAGGAGAGGACAGCCUUACGAGGGUUUGCUUGAGAGGCAGUGUUGCUUCUGUGACUGCCAGAUCUAAAUCUCGAUCUUGCCAUAACUUUACAGGGUAACUUGGGUCCACAGUCCCUCUUUGUGCCUCAGUUUACCCACCCAUUAAAUGGGAACAUUAUUGUCUUCCCCCUCCCUACCUCAUGGGGAAUGUCUGGGAAGCUGGGGACAUUGCUAUGCAAAUGUGUGAAUCUUAGUCAUGGAUUUGAUUUUUAGUUCUCUCCAUACCCCCAUAGGCAAGGCCUUCCCCCAGAGUUCCUGCCUUGGAUCCAAAGCCUAAGAAUAGGCCAUUAUGGACCAUUGGCUCCCGAAAUCCCUCCUUGGCCUCUUGGACUGAGCCCCUCAGCCUUUCUUCUUACCCUUCAGAAAGGAGGGUUCUUUUUAGAUAUGUUCAGGGGGAUCCUUCCAUGGCUGGAGGUCACCUUGACUAGGAGCUUGGCUUCUCCAAACCUGAAACACAGUAGAAGAUAGAGAUGUUUAUGAUGCACAAACCUGCUCUGAGGUCAGAAAGUGCUAGUUUUCCAAAUCUCUCCCAUUACUGCUGGCUAUUUGGGGGAAGAAGAGAAAAGCCCAUUCCAGAGGCAGAAGGGAAGCUCCCAGCCGAGGGUGAAAGUUGGGACAUGUAUGCAUGUAUCUCUGUAUAUGUGUAUGUAAUCACCCUCAUCACCAUCCCUGAGAAAACGUUUCCUUUUCAAGUCAGAGCACGCUUGAAAGGGUUUGUGGAGAGCCCAGCUCACCAGGGACUCUGGUUGCCGUAGCAACCUUCCAGACUGUUCUCUCUAUCUUCUGCUUUGGGCAUCAAGGGAGACCAGGGGACUACAUCUUUCCAGCUUCUCAAAUGGGAGCACCUCCCACAUAGUGGCUUAGGGGCUGGGAGUGCCAGGACAGGGAUGUGGGACUUUUGGAAAAUGUGGAGGAAGCAGGGCCUCAAAGCCUCCUGUCUGGACUUUUCUUCCUAGUUUCCCCACCCAGUCAUUGCAGCUGCCUCAUCUUACUCCUGAUUCUUCAGAAAUUUGAAUGUUAGGCAACCAGUUAAACCAACGUCAGUGUUAAUUUUUUCGAGCUGUCGAGGGGAGCCCUUAGACGGGACAACUUCUCCUUGGAGUGGCAGCCAGGCUGGGCCUCACCAGGUGAGAUCACAGUCUUAGGGAUCAUGGAGUUCCCGUCUCCGCAGAGGCAGGCUCUUCCCAGCUCCACGAGAGGCGGAGAAUUGCAACUUGUUCCUCCCCGGGAACAGUCUAUCUCGCUCCUGGGAGGAAUCUCAAAGAUCUUUCUUCUCAAGACAUCGAAGAAAAACGGAGAGGCUGUAGCUCGACCAAGUUUCUGGGAAGAAUUUUGUCAAGUGAUCCUUCUCUGACCUUAAGUCUCUUUAUUUGGAUUUUGUGCCCUGAGCACCAAGAGAAUAUGCACUCUGUGGUGCUCGGACAGCUGGGGUGGUCAUUCCCAGGAAGGGUCCAAGCCAUCGCUACACCUGACUCAAGCUGGAAGGAGCUCCCAGAGGACUUCCUGGCACUGCCAGCCUCAGCCUGAGAUGCGGGAUAUUCGUCCCCACGGAGCGAGGAGGGACAGCGCGCCGUCUUUGCAGGAAAAAUGCUGGCAGGUGGUGCAAGCAAGGACAUCUACGCAUAGAAUUCUGACAGCAGCUGAACCCUCAACUUCUUCAGAAGACGAGACCCCCUGCCUAGGUGAUCUGGCCUGACACCCCUGUGGAGGCCCCCCACAAGCAGCAACCAAGCCAGAAAAAGCUGAGACCAGACCCGCUGUCCCUAGAGAUGGGGCCCAGAAUGUCGGGGUGAAGCUGUAGGAACAGGGUGAAAGCUGGUGGGCAAAGAGACCAGCUAUGGGGUGGUCAGGGGAUUCCGGGAGGUGCAUGGUUGUGUUGCAGACCCACCCAGGACAAGGGUGGCUGUGGAAGAAUGGCAAAUAAACAUAUGGCAAAAUCUC